Molecule: ribosomal RNA, 703 nt
Filed under: Listeria ivanovii
Lineage: Bacteria; Bacillati; Bacillota; Bacilli; Caryophanales; Listeriaceae
Description: bacterial SSU rRNA
Rfam family: Bacterial small subunit ribosomal RNA
Source: RNAcentral
CAGGACGAACGCUGGCGGCGUGCCUAAUACAUGCAAGUCGAACGAACGGAGGAAGAGCUUGCUCUUCCAAUGUUAGUGGCGGACGGGUGAGUAACACGUGGGCAACCUGCCUGUAAGUUGGGGAUAACUCCGGGAAACCGGGGCUAAUACCGAAUGAUAAGUAGUGACGCAUGUCAUCACUUUGAAAGAUGGUUUCGGCUAUCGCCUACAGAUGGGCCCGCGGUGCAUUAGCUAGUUGGUAGGGUAAAGGCCUACCAAGGCAACGAUGCAUAGCCGACCUGAGAGGGUGAUCGGCCACACUGGGACUGAGACACGGCCCAGACUCCUACGGGAGGCAGCAGUAGGGAAUCUUCCGCAAUGGACGAAAGUCUGACGGAGCAACGCCGCGUGUAUGAAGAAGGUUUUCGGAUCGUAAAGUACUGUUGUUAGAGAAGAACAAGGAUAAGAGUAACUGCUUGUCCCUUGACGGUAUCUAACCAGAAAGCCACGGCUAACUACGUGCCAGCAGCCGCGGUAAUACGUAGGUGGCAAGCGUUGUCCGGAUUUAUUGGGCGUAAAGCGCGCGCAGGCGGUCUUUUAAGUCUGAUGUGAAAGCCCCCGGCUUAACCGGGGAGGGUCAUUGGAAACUGGAAGACUGGAGUGCAGAAGAGGAGAGUGGAAUUCCACGUGUAGCGGUGAAAUGCGUAGAUAUGUGGAGGAACAC